GAGUUUGAUUAUGGCUCAGAUUGAACGCUGGCGGCAGGCUUAACACAUGCAAGUCGAACGGAAGUUACUAGCUUGCUAGUAACUUUAGUGGCGAACGGGUGAGUAACAUUUAGGAAUCUGCCUCAUAACGGGGGAUAGCUCGGGGAAACUCGAAUUAAUACCGCAUACACCCUACGGGGGAAAGGUGGCGCAAGCUGCCGAUAUGAGAUGAGCCUAAAUCAGAUUAGCUAGAUGGUGGGGUAAAGGCCUACCAUGGCGACGAUCUGUAACUGGUCUGAGAGGAUGAUCAGUCACACCGGAACUGAGACACGGUCCGGACUCCUACGGGAGGCAGCAGUGGGGAAUAUUGGACAAUGGGCGAAAGCCUGAUCCAGCCAUGCCGCGUGUGUGAAGAAGGCCAUAAGGUUGUAAAGCACUUUAAGCAGGGAGGAAGAACUUUUAGUUAAUAGCUAAAAGUGGUGACGUUACCUGCAGAAUAAGCCCC
RNAcentral lists this ribosomal RNA (484 nucleotides) under Moraxella sp. canine oral taxon 018. Its description in RNAcentral is "bacterial SSU rRNA". It matches the Rfam family "Bacterial small subunit ribosomal RNA", at positions 9 to 494 of the family's 1533-position model. The record is from RNAcentral. Lineage: Bacteria; Pseudomonadati; Pseudomonadota; Gammaproteobacteria; Moraxellales; Moraxellaceae.